CAAGUCGAGCGGAAAGGCCCUUUCGGGGGUACUCGAGCGGCGAACGGGUGAGUAACACGUGAGUAAUCUGCCCUUGGCUUCGGGAUAGCCACCGGAAACGGUGAUUAAUACCGGAUACGACACAUCACUGCAUGGUGCGUGUGUGGAAAGUUUUUUCGGCCAGGGAUGUGCUCGCGGCCUAUCAGCUUGUUGGUGGGGUAAUGGCCUACCAAGGCUUCGACGGGUAGCCGGCCUGAGAGGGUGACCGGCCACACUGGGACUGAGACACGGCCCAGACUCCUACGGGAGGCAGCAGUGGGGAAUAUUGGACAAUGGGCGGAAGCCUGAUCCAGCAACGCCGCGUGAGGGAUGACGGCCUUCGGGUUGUAAACCUCUUUCAGCACAGACGAAGCGCAAGUGACGGUAUGUGCAGAAGAAGGACCGGCCAACUACGUGCCAGCAGCCGCGGUAAUACGUAGGGUCCGAGCGUUGUCCGAAAUUAUUGGGCGUAAAGGGCUCGUAGGCGGUUUGUCGCGUCGGGAGUGAAAACACCGGGCUUAACUCGGUGCUUGCUUUCGAUACGGGCAGACUAGAGGUAUU
This 579-nucleotide ribosomal RNA is filed under the name uncultured Actinomycetes bacterium. Its description in RNAcentral is "bacterial SSU rRNA". It matches the Rfam family "Bacterial small subunit ribosomal RNA", at positions 58 to 651 of the family's 1533-position model. The record is from RNAcentral. Lineage: Bacteria; Bacillati; Actinomycetota; Actinomycetes.